RNAcentral lists this ribosomal RNA (467 nucleotides) under uncultured bacterium. Its description in RNAcentral is "partial 16S ribosomal RNA". It matches the Rfam family "Bacterial small subunit ribosomal RNA", at positions 329 to 793 of the family's 1533-position model. The record is from RNAcentral.
GGCCAGACUCCUACGGGAGGCAGCAGUGAGGAAUAUUGGUCAAUGGCCGUAAGGCUGAACCAGCCAAGUCGCGUGAAGGAAGAAGGAUCUAUGGUUUGUAAACUUCUUUUAUAGGGGAAUAAAGGUAUCCACGUGUGGAUAUUUGCAUGUACCCUAUGAAUAAGCAUCGGCUAACUCCGUGCCAGCAGCCGCGGUAAUACGGAGGGUGCGAGCGUUAAUCGGAAUUACUGGGCGUAAAGCGCUCGUAGGCGGUAGGUCAAGUCAAGGGUGAAAUCCCCGCGCUCAACGUGGGAACUGCCUUUGAAACUGGCAAACUGGAGUGUGUGAGAGGAUAGUGGAAUUCCAGGUGUAGGAGUGAAAUCCGUAGAUAUCUGGAGGAACAUCAGUGGCGAAGGCGACUAUCUGGCACAUAACUGACGCUGAGGAGCGAAAGCGUGGGUAGCAAACAGGAUUAGAUACCCCUGUAC